GCGUGCGUGCAUGUGUGUGUGUUUAGCAAAGGCAACAGGAUCAACACCUAAAUUUAACCUUUUUUCCCAGGGGAAGGUUUUCCGCACACAACCUUAAAAGGGCCGUCUCCACAAAGGUGAAACAUCGCAGCUAGCUGUCGCUGAGCGAACAAAGCAUCAGCUCAUUCCUUCGUUGUGAGCUCAGGGUCCCUAACACAACAGAGGAGACCUCUCCCUUCAGCACCUCCUCACCUGCACAGACUUUGCAAGAAACAUAGGGAAGAAAGAAAGAAAGACAGAAAGGAAGGAAGAAAGAAAGAAGCAUAGACGACCAUGGAGAAAAAGGGGGCAACCGGGUGCAAAAACUUAAAAGGAAGAAAGCACCCAAU
Molecule: long non-coding RNA, 368 nt
Organism: Engraulis encrasicolus (European anchovy)
Lineage: Eukaryota; Metazoa; Chordata; Actinopteri; Clupeiformes; Engraulidae
Exons: 3
Source: RefSeq, a predicted model, not a curated record